This is a non-coding RNA of Picea glauca (white spruce), 116 nucleotides long. NCBI's taxonomy places the organism in Eukaryota, Viridiplantae, Streptophyta, Pinopsida, Pinales, Pinaceae. The record is from Rfam.
GUACAUGGCUAUAGCUUUAAUGCACCAGAUCCCAUAAGAACUCUGAAGUUAAGUGCACUUGGGCAAGAGCAAUACUAGGAUGGAUGACCUCUCAAGAAGUCCUAGUGUUUUAGAUG